ACUCAAUUAUUGUAAGUAUCCUACUAUCGUCUUCCGCACGUCUGUAACAUAGCAAAUUUUCCCAUGAGCAUAAUAGCGACUCGUUUAAAGCUAAUUUCGCAUUAUUGUUGGAAUUAUGCUCUAGGAGAUUUUGGUCACCUUUAAUAACGCAAAGAACCAUUUCCUCAAAUUUAAUGUCAUUAUACCCAUGGUUUGCCAAAACGCAAGAAACACUAAAUGUCAGCAAAUAAGAAAAUUGUAGAAAUACUUACUUUGUUUUAAGCAAAAGGACCUCCUCUUUUUCAUGUAACAUAAGAGAUAAUUUAAAAG
Schizosaccharomyces pombe (fission yeast) is the source of this 309-nucleotide non-coding RNA. Lineage: Eukaryota; Fungi; Ascomycota; Schizosaccharomycetes; Schizosaccharomycetales; Schizosaccharomycetaceae. The record is from the annotation of a GenBank genome assembly.